UGAGAAAUUGAGUUCCUGCCCC
This 22-nucleotide non-coding RNA is filed under the name Rattus norvegicus (Norway rat). Lineage: Eukaryota; Metazoa; Chordata; Mammalia; Rodentia; Muridae. The record is from RNAcentral.